GACAGAGGGGGCUAGCGUUGCUCGGAAUCACUGGGCGUAAAGGGUGCGUAGGCGGGUCUUUAAGUCAGGGGUGAAAUCCUGGAGCUCAACUCCAGAACUGCCUUUGAUACUGAAGAUCUUGAGUUCGGGAGAGGUGAGUGGAACUGCGAGUGUAGAGGUGAAAAUUCGUAGAUAUUCGCAAGAACACCAGUGGCGAAGGCGGCUCACUGGCCCGAUACUGACGCUGAGGCACGAAAGCGUGGGAGCAACAGGG
RNAcentral lists this ribosomal RNA (253 nucleotides) under uncultured bacterium. RNAcentral describes it as "partial 16S ribosomal RNA". It matches the Rfam family "Bacterial small subunit ribosomal RNA", at positions 524 to 776 of the family's 1533-position model. The record is from RNAcentral.